UCCGGUUUGGCACCGACAGUCUCCCCAGAGUUCCCGGCUUUACCCGCUGGCAACUGAGGACAGGGGUUGCGCUCGUUGCGCCACUUAAGGCAACACCUCGCGGCACGAGCUGACGACAGCCAUGCAGCACCUGUGCGGGCUCCCGAAGGAGGACCGUGUUUCCACGGCUUCACCCCGCAUGUCAAGCCCUGGUAAGAUUCUUCGCGUUGCGUCGAAUUAAGCCACAUGCUCCGCCGCUUGUGCGGGCCCCCGUCAAUUCCUUUGAGUUUUAGCCUUGCGGCCGUACUCCCCAGGCGGAUAACUUAAUGCGUUAGCUGCGCCACCAAAGCUCUAUGAGCCCUGACAGCUAGUUAUCAUCGUUUACGGCGUGGACUAC
This 376-nucleotide unclassified non-coding RNA is filed under the name uncultured Actinomycetes bacterium. RNAcentral describes it as "uncultured actinobacterium contains 16S-23S intergenic spacer region". Lineage: Bacteria; Bacillati; Actinomycetota; Actinomycetes. The record is from RNAcentral.